RNAcentral lists this ribosomal RNA (372 nucleotides) under uncultured Anaerolineaceae bacterium. RNAcentral describes it as "bacterial SSU rRNA". It matches the Rfam family "Bacterial small subunit ribosomal RNA", at positions 987 to 1382 of the family's 1533-position model. Lineage: Bacteria; Bacillati; Chloroflexota; Anaerolineae; Anaerolineales; Anaerolineaceae. The record is from RNAcentral.
UUGUAGGGAACGUGAAAGGACGACCUUCGGGAGCCUAUACAGGUGUUGCAUGGCUGUCGUCAGCUCGUGUCGUGAGAUGUUCGGUUAAGUCCGCUAACGAGCGCAACCCUCGUCGUAUGUUAUAUGUGUCAUACGAGACUGCCGGUAAAAAGCCGGAGGAAGGUGAGGAUGAUGUCAAGUCAGCAUGACCUUUAUAUCCAGGGCUACACACACGCUACAAUGGUCUGUACAAUGGGUAGCCAAGCCGCGAGGCGGAGCCAAUCCUGAAAGCAGGCCUCAGUUCAGAUUGCAGUCUGCAACUCGACUGCAUGAAGCCGGAGUUGCUAGUAACCGCAGGUCAGCAAUACUGCGGUGAAUACGUUCCCGGGUCUU